CGUUUCACGAAGCAGGUUCAACAAACUCUGAGUUUAACCCUGAACUCUGAGUUGAUCUACUCUGAGAUAGAAAACUCUGAGUUUUCGGUUUCACAACGGCUGAUUUGAGUUGGUUAAAUCAACUCUGAGUAGUUUCACCCGGAGUUACGCGCGUGCACCACAACUCUGAAAAGACAGCAUCAAUGGAGUGCCGAUUCGACGAGUCACCAUGGCAACGGGGAAGCGGAGGACGACACCGUUUGAAUUGGAAAUCUUAAUGCGCUUAUAUAGCGAGUUUGAACAAGUUUUUAGAAAGAAGUGCAACACCUGCAGCUGUAAAAGAGAGGGAGACGGUGUGGGAGAACAUUGCUGCCUGGGUCAAUGUAUUCUGAUGGUGUUAUCUGCCUGGUGGAGCCCCUUCACACCACAACAGAGCUUGUAACUGAUGAAGAGGAUGAAACUGUGUCUGCUGCCUUUACAGAGGGGGAUCCAGAAAGGCAUACAGAG
Amphiprion ocellaris (clown anemonefish) is the source of this 486-nucleotide long non-coding RNA. RefSeq lists it as uncharacterized. The transcript has 3 exons. The record is from RefSeq and is a predicted model, not a curated record. Lineage: Eukaryota; Metazoa; Chordata; Actinopteri; Pomacentridae.